RNAcentral lists this ribosomal RNA (906 nucleotides) under uncultured bacterium. RNAcentral describes it as "bacterial SSU rRNA". It matches the Rfam family "Bacterial small subunit ribosomal RNA", at positions 8 to 905 of the family's 1533-position model. The record is from RNAcentral.
AGAGUUUGAUCCUGGCUCAGAUUGAACGCUGGCGGCAUGCUUUACACAUGCAAGUCGAACGGCAGCACGGGGGCAACCCUGGUGGCGAGUGGCGAACGGGUGAGUAACACAUCGGAACGUGUCCUCUUGUGGGGGAUAACCUGGCGAAAGCCAGGCUAAUACCGCAUAAGCUCGUGAGAGGAAAGCGGGGGACCUGAAAGGGCCUCGCGCGGGAGGAGCGGCCGAUGUCCGAUUAGCUAGUUGGUGGGGUAAAGGCCCACCAAGGCGACGAUCGGUAGCUGGUCUGAGAGGAUGAUCAGCCACACUGGGACUGAGACACGGCCCAGACUCCUACGGGAGGCAGCAGUGGGGAAUUUUGGACAAUGGGGGCAACCCUGAUCCAGCCAUGCCGCGUGAGUGAAGAAGGCCUUCGGGUUGUAAAGCUCUUUCGGUGGGAACGAAACGGGCACGGUUAAUACCCGUGUUCAAUGACGGUACUCACAGAAGAAGCACCGGCUAACUACGUGCCAGCAGCCGCGGUAAUACGUAGGGUGCGAGCGUUAAUCGGAAUUACUGGGCGUAAAGCGUGCGUAGGCGGUUGCAUAAGCUUGAUGUGAAAGCCCCGGGCUUAACCUGGGAAUGGCAUUGAGGACUGUGCGGCUUGAGUGCGGCAGAGGGAGGUGGAAUUCCAGGUGUAGCAGUGAAAUGCGUAGAGAUCUGGAGGAACACCGAUGGCGAAGGCAGCCUCCUGGGCCGACACUGACGCUGAGGGCACGAAAGCGUGGGGAGCAAACAGGAUUAGAUACCCUGGUAGUCCACGCCCUAAACGAUGUCAACUGGUUGUUGGGGAAGGCAACUUCCUUAGUAACGAAGCUAACGCGUGAAGUUGACCGCCUGGGGAGUACGGCCGCAAGGUUAAAACUCAAA